RNAcentral lists this transfer RNA (72 nucleotides) under Dallia pectoralis (Alaska blackfish). Its description in RNAcentral is "tRNA-OTHER". It matches the Rfam family "tRNA". From Rfam's summary of the family: Transfer RNA (tRNA) molecules are approximately 80 nucleotides in length. Their secondary structure includes four short double-helical elements and three loops (D, anti-codon, and T loops). Further hydrogen bonds mediate the characteristic L-shaped molecular structure. tRNAs have two regions of fundamental functional importance: the anti-codon, which is responsible for specific mRNA codon recognition, and the 3' end, to which the tRNAs corresponding amino acid is attached (by aminoacyl-tRNA synthetases). tRNAs cope with the degeneracy of the genetic code in two manners: having more than one tRNA (with a specific anti-codon) for a particular amino acid; and 'wobble' base-pairing, i.e. permitting non-standard base-pairing at the 3rd anti-codon position. Lineage: Eukaryota; Metazoa; Chordata; Actinopteri; Esociformes; Umbridae. The record is from RNAcentral.
GGGGAUGUAGCUCAGUGGUAGAGCGCAUGCUUUGCAUGUAUGAUGUCCUGGGUUCAAUCCCCAGUUUCUCCA